AUUGAACGCUGGCGGCAGGCCUAACACAUGCAAGUCGAGCGGUAGAGCGAAGCUUGCUUCUCUUGAGAGCGGCGGACGGGUGAGUAAUGCCUAGGAAUCUGCCUGGUAGUGGGGGAUAACGUUCGGAAACGGACGCUAAUACCGCAUACGUCCUACGGGAGAAAGCAGGGGACCUUCGGGCCUUGCGCUAUCAGAUGAGCCUAGGUCGGAUUAGCUAGUUGGUGGGGUAAUGGCUCACCAAGGCGACGAUCCGUAACUGGUCUGAGAGGAUGAUCAGUCACACUGGAACUGAGACACGGUCCAGACUCCUACGGGAGGCAGCAGUGGGGAAUAUUGGACAAUGGGCGAAAGCCUGAUCCAGCCAUGCCGCGUGUGUGAAGAAGGUCUUCGGAUUGUAAAGCACUUUAAGUUGGGAGGAAGGGUUGUAGAUUAAUACUCUGCAAUUUUGACGUUACCGACAGAAUAAGCACCGGCUAACUCUGUG
RNAcentral lists this ribosomal RNA (484 nucleotides) under uncultured bacterium. Its description in RNAcentral is "partial 16S ribosomal RNA". It matches the Rfam family "Bacterial small subunit ribosomal RNA", at positions 30 to 507 of the family's 1533-position model. The record is from RNAcentral.